AUCUUAAUAAUAUUAUUUUUGUCUUAUUUUAUUUGAUAACCAUUAUUAUCUCAGAGUACAAAUCCAUAUAGGUUUUCCUGAUCUUUGCUACUGAGAGAAUUUGUUUUUUUCUUAUGGACGUUCGUGUACUCUCUUGGACUUGUGCUCAUGGAACUUGUGGCAUGUAACGACCACCAGCACAUUUACAUUUUUUAAAAAUACAGAUCACAUCACGAAUAUGCGAGCACAUAUCUCUUGGACAAUCAAAUGUAGACUGACAGUUCAUAAUGUUUGCUGUAAUGAAAAAUGAGAAUACAAAUAUGUUAAUAAAGCAUGAUAAGAAAUUGUGUAUGAACUACGAAGUAAAGAAGAAAAUUUAAAAAACGAUAAAAAAAUAUUACUUUAACAACUAAUUAGUAACAUUUGUUAUUGAAAAGAAAAGAUAAAAAAUGACUUACCAUCAACGUUAUUUGCGGCAAAAAAUAAGGAAAAAAAUAUAAUUAGA
This 484-nucleotide long non-coding RNA is filed under the name Medicago truncatula (barrel medic). RNAcentral's name for it is "lncRNA gene31796". Lineage: Eukaryota; Viridiplantae; Streptophyta; Magnoliopsida; Fabales; Fabaceae. The record is from RNAcentral.